RNAcentral lists this ribosomal RNA (468 nucleotides) under uncultured bacterium. RNAcentral's name for it is "partial 16S ribosomal RNA". It matches the Rfam family "Bacterial small subunit ribosomal RNA", at positions 28 to 507 of the family's 1533-position model. The record is from RNAcentral.
GACGAACGCUGGCGGCGUGCUUAACACAUGCAAGUCGAACGGAAAGGCCCUGCUUUUGUGGGGUGUUCGAGUGGCGAACGGGUGAGUAACACGUGAGUAACCUGCCCUUGACUUUGGGAUAACCUCAGGAAACUGGGGCUAAUACCUGAUAGGAGCUCCUGCUGCAUGGUGGGGGUUGGAAAGUUUCGGCGGCUGGGGAUGGACUCGCGGCUCAUCAGCUUGUUGGUGGGGUAGUGGCUUACGAAGGCUUUGACGGGUAGCCGGCCUGAGAGGGUGACCGGCCACAUUGGGCCUGAGGUACGGCCCAGACUGCUACGGGAGGCAGCGGUGGGAAAUAUUGCACAAUAGGCGGCAGCCUGAUGCAGCGACGCCGCGUGCGGAAUGACGGCCUUCGGGUUGUAAACCGCUUUCGCCUAUGACGAAGCGUGAGUGACGGUAAUGGGUAAAGAAGCACCGGCUAACUACGUG